Molecule: ribosomal RNA, 110 nt
Filed under: Candidatus Anoxychlamydiales bacterium
Lineage: Bacteria; Pseudomonadati; Chlamydiota; Chlamydiia; Candidatus Anoxychlamydiales
Source: RNAcentral
GGCAUUAGAGAAGGGGGUACACCUGAUACCUUUUCGAACUCAGAAGUUAAGCCUUUCAUCGCCGAUGGUAGUAUGCACAAGAGUAUGCAAGAGUAGGUCGCUGCCAGCUU